UACGGAGGGGGCUAGCGUUGUUCGGAAUUACUGGGCGUAAAGCGCGUGUAGGCGGCGUGACAAGUCGGGUGUGAAAGCCCUCAGCUCAACUGAGGAAGUGCGCCCGAAACUGUCGUGCUUGAGUGUCGGAGAGGGUAGCGGAAUUCCCCAAGUAGAGGUGAAAUUCGUAGAUAUGGGGAGGAACACCGGUGGCGAAGGCGGCUACCUGGACGACUACUGACGCUGAGACGCGAAAGCGUGGGGAGCAAACAGG
RNAcentral lists this ribosomal RNA (253 nucleotides) under uncultured bacterium. RNAcentral's name for it is "partial 16S ribosomal RNA". It matches the Rfam family "Bacterial small subunit ribosomal RNA", at positions 524 to 776 of the family's 1533-position model. The record is from RNAcentral.